UUGAAUUAUAGUAGAAUUUUAUUUUGAGUUCUUUUUUAUUAUUAUUGUUUUUGUUUUAGUAUGAUUGUACUUUUGGUGGCUCUAGUUUCACCAUAACUUUGGGUUUUUAAUUUGUUUUGUUAAUUGCAUGAAUAUUCUGUGAGAUUUAAGUGUGUUACAAUGAAUUUGGUUUACCAACAUAUGUUUGUUUAAUUGUUCUUAUUCUUAAGUCAAGCUUAAAGCAACCAAGAAAUGUUUGCAAAGAAGGAAGCGUAGGACACUUCGAGUGGUGAUGAUAAGAAUUAG
Molecule: long non-coding RNA, 285 nt
Filed under: Lathyrus oleraceus (garden pea)
Lineage: Eukaryota; Viridiplantae; Streptophyta; Magnoliopsida; Fabales; Fabaceae
Description: Pisum sativum (pea) long non-coding RNA (PSAT_LNC005235)
Source: RNAcentral